This 460-nucleotide ribosomal RNA is filed under the name uncultured bacterium. Its description in RNAcentral is "partial 16S ribosomal RNA". It matches the Rfam family "Bacterial small subunit ribosomal RNA", at positions 338 to 795 of the family's 1533-position model. The record is from RNAcentral.
CCUACGGGAGGCAGCAGUGAGGAAUAUUGGUCAAUGGCCGUAAGGCUGAACCAGCCAAGUCGCGUGAAGGAAGAAGGAUCUAUGGUUUGUAAACUUCUUUUAUAGGGGAAUAAAGGUAUCCACGUGUGGAUAUUUGCAUGUACCCUAUGUAUAAGCAUCGGCUAACUCCGUGCCAGCAGCCGCGGUAAUACGGAGGAGGCGAGGGUUAUCCGGAUUGAUUGGGUUUAACGGGUGCGUAGGUUGUUUUUUAAGUCAUCAGUGAAAGUGUGGGGCUCAACCAUAAAAUUGCCGGUGAAACUAGAAGACUUGAGUGUGAUAGAGGUAGGCAGAAUGCGUGGUGUAGCGGUGAAAUGCAUAGAUAUCACGCAGAACUCCGAUUGCGAAGGCAGCUAACUAAGUCAUAACUGACACUGAAGUACGAAAGCGUGGGGAUCAAACAGGAUUAGAUACCCUGGUAGUC